This 489-nucleotide ribosomal RNA is filed under the name uncultured bacterium. RNAcentral describes it as "partial 16S ribosomal RNA". It matches the Rfam family "Bacterial small subunit ribosomal RNA", at positions 30 to 507 of the family's 1533-position model. The record is from RNAcentral.
UUGAACGCUGGCGGCAGGCCUAACACAUGCAAGUCGCACGGUAACAGGAAGAAGCUUGCUUCUUUGCUGACGCGUGGCGGACGGGUGAGUAAUGUCUGGGAAACUGCCUGAUGGAGGGGGAUAACUACUGGAAACGGUAGCUAAUACCGCAUAACGUCGCAAGACCAAAGAGGGGGACCUUCGGGCCUCUUGCCAUCGGAUGUGCCCAGAUGGGAUUAGCUAGUAGGUGGGGUAACGGCUCACCUAGGCGACGAUCCCUAGCUGGUCUGAGAGGAUGACCAGCCACACUGGAACUGAGACACGGUCCAGACUCCUACGGGAGGCAGCAGUGGGGAAUAUUGCACAAUGGGCGCAAGCCUGAUGCAGCCAUGCCGCGUGUAUGAAGAAGGCCUUCGGGUUGUAAAGUACUUUCAGCGGGGAGGAAGGGAGUAAAGUUAAUACCUUUGCUCAUUGACGUUACCCGCAGAAGAAGCACCGGCUAACUCCGUG